CAGUCGCCGCGGUAAUGCGAGGGGUCCUAGCGUUGCUCGGAAUCAUUGGGCGUAAAGCGGAUGUAGGCGGACAGCCAAGUCAGAUGUGAAAGCCCCGGGCUUAACCUGGGAAUUGCAUUUCAUGCUGGGUCGCUAGAGUACUUUAGGGAGGGGUAGAAUUCCACGUGUAGCGGUGAAAUGCGUAGAGAUGUGGAGGAAUACCGAAGGCGAAGGCAGCCCCUUGGGAAUGUACUGACGCUCAUGUGCGAAAGCGUGGGGAGCAAACAGGAUUAGAGACCCCCGUAGUCCCUGUCUCUUAUAC
Molecule: ribosomal RNA, 301 nt
Filed under: uncultured bacterium
Lineage: Bacteria
Description: partial 16S ribosomal RNA
Rfam family: Bacterial small subunit ribosomal RNA
Source: RNAcentral